AUCCCAUGAUGAGAGUAUCUACGAAGUAACUCAUUGAAUCUUUCUCACGCCUCAUAUAGAGACUCAUCAUCCAUAUGCUGAAAAGUGGUGAUCUCGUUCCGCAACUU
Molecule: small nucleolar RNA, 107 nt
Organism: Gossypium raimondii (Peruvian cotton)
Lineage: Eukaryota; Viridiplantae; Streptophyta; Magnoliopsida; Malvales; Malvaceae
Rfam family: Plant small nucleolar RNA R71
About the family: R71 is a member of the C/D box family of snoRNAs containing the C (UGAUGA) and D (CUGA) box motifs.
Source: Rfam